RNAcentral lists this ribosomal RNA (266 nucleotides) under uncultured Rickettsia sp. RNAcentral's name for it is "partial 16S ribosomal RNA". It matches the Rfam family "Bacterial small subunit ribosomal RNA", at positions 652 to 919 of the family's 1533-position model. Lineage: Bacteria; Pseudomonadati; Pseudomonadota; Alphaproteobacteria; Rickettsiales; Rickettsiaceae. The record is from RNAcentral.
UAGGGGAUGAUGGAAUUCCUAGUGUAGAGGUGAAAUUCUUAGAUAUUAGGAGGAACACCGGUGGCGAAGGCGGUCAUCUGGGCUACAACUGACGCUGAGGCACGAAAGCGUGGGGAGCAAACAGGAUUAGAUACCCUGGUAGUCCACGCCGUAAACGAUGAGUGCUAGAUAUCGGAAGAGUCUCUUUCGGUUUCGCAGCUAACGCAUUAAGCACUCCCCCUGGGGAGUACGGUCGCAAGGUUAAAACUCAAAGGAAUUGACGGGGG